Molecule: transfer RNA, 57 nt
Filed under: Dipodomys ordii (Ord's kangaroo rat)
Lineage: Eukaryota; Metazoa; Chordata; Mammalia; Rodentia; Heteromyidae
Rfam family: tRNA
About the family: Transfer RNA (tRNA) molecules are approximately 80 nucleotides in length. Their secondary structure includes four short double-helical elements and three loops (D, anti-codon, and T loops).
Source: Rfam by way of RNAcentral
UGGCUCAGUGGUAGACCGCUUGCCUUGCAUGCAUGAGGCCCUGGGUUCGAUUCCUAG